CUUGUCAUAGAAACCAGAAAUGCUAUCUUUUUCCAUUUGAAUGAUGAGGUAAUCAUGACAAUUAGAUUUUUAAAACAUUUCAUCGCUUGACUGUUUGUAGGCAAAAGAAAUGAAAACUGGUGGGAGCCUCUGCUAAUGACUACGCAAUGCGGAGUAAUCCACUGGAGUGAGGCUGAUGCGGCUGUAAGCCUACCAUUGUCUAGGUUAAUACUUUGAUGGCCUAAUUAAAGGUUUUCUUUUUCUUCUGGAAUUCCUGUUUGCGGAUGGACGAUCUGCUGAGAGAUUAGUCGUCAAACUAUGAAGCGUGAACGAGAAGCACAACCAACACGCCUUGAAUCCUACUACAGACAGCUGGAUGACUCGUCAAUCCUUUCAGCGGUGAGCGACGCGCCUUGUAUCUCUUCCUUCGACGCCUUCGCUAAUUAGACGUGACAACCUUCGUGACGACCCUCAUUUUGGGUGUAACUCUGUUCGUUGUGCAUUCCCUUGUCCACCAAUCAGAACAAGAGUUUGGUUUUUUCGGCUAUACGUGUCGCCAUUUGGUUGCCAAUUUCUGUAUGCGUGGGACGAGAUCCUAACUGUUUCUAACGUCCCUCCUUUUGUCCCAGUUUCAAUCGAUAUAGAAAAAACUGACGGCUGCGUUAAAUAUCGAUACAGAAAACUGCAGCGAAUAUAAAAGACGACCCAUUUCGACGUUGGAUUCACAACCCCCCAACUCGCCUGUCGAAAAUGAAGUUCUUUUCGAUUCUCUUCCUUUUGGCUGUCGUCU
Daphnia pulicaria is the source of this 769-nucleotide long non-coding RNA. RefSeq lists it as uncharacterized. The record is from RefSeq and is a predicted model, not a curated record. The transcript is spliced from 3 exons. Lineage: Eukaryota; Metazoa; Arthropoda; Branchiopoda; Diplostraca; Daphniidae.